AGUAGAAAUAAGUUUUUUAAUUGGAAUAAGGGAAUAACUUGCUGCCGGAUGUGGGUGAGUCGAGGCAAGUCGGGGACUGAGAGGCACGGCGGCGGUUCUAAAUGCUGCUGCUCGGCGGGUUAGGCCAGAAGGAGGAGGCCGCGAUGGCGUGGCUGGAUGGGGUUCCGGCGAGUAGUCGGGCUGGACGUCCGGGGUGGCGGCGGUAUUUCGAGCUGCUGGCCGCAAUUCAGAGGGGAGGAAGAGGCGGUUUAGGGAGAAUCGGAGAUGGUGGUGAUGAAUCGCGGCGGGGGUUGCCUAUUGGCGCCGUCUGUUCGUCGAUCGAGAGAGAAGGUGGCUGAGCGACGCUGCUGCUGUGCCGCGACGGCAAGGCGAUGCUCCGACUGCCUCUCCCUUGAAUUCGACGAAGGAAAGGGUUAGGGAUUUUGGGGAUUUCAGAAUUUGGGAGCUUCUUACACUGGGGUUCUGUGGAAUCGGAGAGGGAAUGAGGAGAUGAGGCUGAGAGGGUGAGUAGGAGGUGGUUGGCGACGGUAGUCCUUCACCGUUGACCGUCCAGUCGAAAAANAAAAAAGAUGGGAAGGGUAGAUUUACAGAUUUAGGGAUUUCAGAUUUUUAGGCUUUGAGGAAUGAAGAAGGAGUGGGAGACGUAUGCGUGUGAAGGAGGGAGUGGAGAGGAGGAAAAAGAGGCACGGCGACGACGCCACUGUUACCGCGGCUGUUAUCGCCGGCGAGGAAGAGGCGGCGGCGGCUGCAUAUUUAGAGGGAGAAGAGAGAAAUUGAGCGUGAGAGAUGGGAUGGAGAGAGAGACCGAUCCAGCGUUAAGGAGAGAGAGUGGACUGGAUAGUUGGGCCCUGAUUUUGGGCUUCAGCUUUUAUUUUAAAUUGGGCCCGAGACAUGAGAAUUAUUUGAUUGAACUUGGGCUCAUACUAAGAGAAUUGGACUUAAGUUUUUUAUUUAUUUUUUUUGAUUAAUUUGAGCCUUGGCUUGAUUAUUUAUUCAAAGUUUCAUAAUAAAUAUUAUUAUGCAUUAAGUAUGAGAUUUUAGAUAUGUGAUUAUAGCAUGAGUUUGCAAAAGAGUUCAAAAGUUUUAAGCUAUACUUUUGCAAUAAGUAUUUUGAAAUUGGGAUUUAGUUAAGUUUAAUGAGAAGUCAAUUAAUUACCGAACUAGGAUUUAAGAAUUUUAUGAAAAUGUUAGCAGAGACGAUAUUUUGAGGCCUAUUAAGAUUAUAUUAUCUUGUAGGUCCACUUGAUAUAAGCUUUUAGCACUGAUUUUACAAGAAGAGAAUUGUGCAAGAUUUAUC
RNAcentral lists this long non-coding RNA (1297 nucleotides) under Salvia miltiorrhiza (redroot sage). Its description in RNAcentral is "long non-coding RNA (SMIL_LNC007262)". Lineage: Eukaryota; Viridiplantae; Streptophyta; Magnoliopsida; Lamiales; Lamiaceae. The record is from RNAcentral.